UGGGGAAUAUUGGACAAUGGGCGAAAGCCUGAUCCAGCCAUGCCGCGUGUGUGAAGAAGGUCUUCGGAUUGUAAAGCACUUUAAGUUGGGAGGAAGGGCAUUAACCUAAUACGUUGGUGUUUUGACGUUACCGACAGAAUAAGCACCGGCUAACUCUGUGC
RNAcentral lists this ribosomal RNA (161 nucleotides) under uncultured bacterium. RNAcentral's name for it is "partial 16S ribosomal RNA". It matches the Rfam family "Bacterial small subunit ribosomal RNA", at positions 355 to 508 of the family's 1533-position model. The record is from RNAcentral.